UCGUUCAUUUCGUUGUAGAUGGUUGACGAAGAGUCAUGGUAGAGAUCAACCGAAGUUUAAAAUAAACCGUUACUGUUUUAAAGGUUUCUUUGUUUCAUUCAUCCACGCGAGUCCCGUGAAAAGCGAAAGCUUCUUAUAACGUGGAGACCACGAAAUAGCAAACAAUCUUAAAUAAUCUUAAACAAUCGUGAUUCCUGUGGAGGCGUCUCAGAACAUGUUUUGAGCUACCGACUUUCGUGAGGACUUCUCUUGAUGUCACUGAAACCAAAAUCCAAUAUCAACCAACAAAUUUGAUUUGGCCAACUGGAUCUCCUUAUAUUCUGCAAUGAUGGCAUUGCGAAAACAGACUUUGCUGCUAUUGUUUCUUUUAUGCAUUUACAAAUUUAGUGGCAUUGAAUGUUCAACUCCAGUUGUUCUGUGGCAUGGAAUGGGGGACAGUUGCUGUUUUUCGUUCAGCUUAGGAGCACUGAAGAAAUUGAUACAGACAACGUUACCUGAUACUUACGUUUACUCGAUUCGUUUAGGAAAUAAUGAAGUUGAGGAUGUGGAACACAGUUAUUUUGGAAAUGUAAACGAACAAAUAUCAGCAGUUUGUGAGCGACUAUCAAAGGAUGAACGUCUUAGAAAUGGGUAUAAUGCUAUUGGAUUCUCGCAAGGUGCACAGUUUCUAAGAGCAGUGAUUCAAAGAUGCCCUGAUCCGCCAGUUAUGAAUUUUAUUUCUAUGGGUGGUCAACAUCAAGGUGUUUUUGGAUUGCCAAAUUGCGGAAUUGUGGGACGCAAAGCUUGCAGCUAUAUGAUUCGCAUGAUAAAAUAUGGAGCAUACUUAAAGUUUGUUCAAGACAAAUUUAUUCAAGCUACAUACUGGCACGAUCCAUUUCAAGAGGAGGAAUAUAGAAAAAAAAGUACAUUUAUAUCUGACAUUAACAACGAACGUCAUAUUAAUCAGACUUAUAAAACUAAUCUUCAAAAGCUACAAUCCAUGGUAUUAGUGAAAUUCGAAAAUGAUACCAUAGUUUGGCCAAGAGAAACAGAAUGGUUCGGAUUUUAUACACCAGGACAAGCAACAAAAAUUCAGAAUCUCGAAGAAAGUGAUUUAUAUCGCGAAGUAUGAAACUAAAUAAUAUUGUAGCAUUAUAGAAGGUUUUUCAGAACAGAUUUUAGGAUGUUGUUUUUUAAUAACAAAAUGCACGGUGUAGUCGUUGCAACCACGAUCGUUUAGGAUUAAAAAUUCUACACGAGUCGGGAAAAGUGCAUUUUUUGUCUGUACCUGGUAAUCAUUUGCAAUUCGAAGAAAGUUGGUUUGUGGACAAUAUAAUCAAAGUGUACUUAAUGUAAAACAUAACAUAUAUAUAUAAUCCAUUUAAUAUAUUAUUGUUAUACAAUAUUUUGAUCAUAAUUGUAGCAAGUACUUUUAUACGAUCAAUAUUAUAUUUUAUUUACAUUCAUA
This is an RNA transcript of Hylaeus volcanicus, 1447 nucleotides long. It is a transcript of the gene named palmitoyl-protein thioesterase 1, with no coding region annotated. The record is from RefSeq and is a predicted model, not a curated record. The transcript is spliced from 8 exons. NCBI's taxonomy places the organism in Eukaryota, Metazoa, Arthropoda, Insecta, Hymenoptera, Colletidae.